GCGCCCGUAGCUCAACGGAUAGAGCAUCUGACUACGGAUCAGAAGGUUGGGGGUUCGAAUCCCUCCGGGCGCACGA
This 76-nucleotide transfer RNA is filed under the name Corynebacterium diphtheriae. Its description in RNAcentral is "tRNA-Arg". It matches the Rfam family "tRNA". From Rfam's summary of the family: Transfer RNA (tRNA) molecules are approximately 80 nucleotides in length. Their secondary structure includes four short double-helical elements and three loops (D, anti-codon, and T loops). The record is from RNAcentral. Lineage: Bacteria; Bacillati; Actinomycetota; Actinomycetes; Mycobacteriales; Corynebacteriaceae. RNAcentral also lists the same sequence under 21 other names.